RNAcentral lists this ribosomal RNA (138 nucleotides) under uncultured bacterium. Its description in RNAcentral is "partial 16S ribosomal RNA". It matches the Rfam family "Bacterial small subunit ribosomal RNA", at positions 354 to 509 of the family's 1533-position model. The record is from RNAcentral.
UGGGGGAAUAUUGCACAAUGGGGGAAACCCUGAUGCAGCGACGCCGCGUGAGCGAUGAAGUAUUUCGGUAUGUAAAGCUCUAUCAGCAGGGAAGAAAAUGACGGUACUUGACUAAGAAGCCCCGGCUAACUACGUGCC